Molecule: unclassified non-coding RNA, 308 nt
Filed under: plant metagenome
Description: partial contains 5.8S ribosomal RNA, internal transcribed spacer 2, and large subunit ribosomal RNA
Rfam family: 5.8S ribosomal RNA (bases 1-105)
Source: RNAcentral
GAAAUGCGAUAAGUAGUGUGAAUUGCAGAAUUCAGUGAAUCAUCGAAUCUUUGAACGCACAUUGCGCCCCUUGGUAUUCCAUGGGGCAUGCCUGUUCGAGCGUCAUUUGUACCCUCAAGCUCUGCUUGGUGUUGGGUGUUUGUCCCGUCUCCGCGCGUGGACUCGCCCCAAAGUGAUUGGCAGCCGGCGUACUGGUCCCGGAGCGCAGCACAUGUCGCGCAAACGAGUGCCUUGGUACGGCGGCGUCCAUAAGCCCCUCUCUCACGCUCUUGACCUCGGAUCAGGUAGGGAUACCGCUGAACUUAAGC